UGAGAGGUUGACAGCCAAUCAAGCAUCACGUCAUAUGCAUGCCUCGCAAACGUUGAAUCGUCGGUAGUGUUUGUUUACACAUGUGAAAGCGGCCUUGCCUUCCUUUUAAAAGGACGGACAGGGCGUCCUCCAAUCAGCGACGAUCCUCGUCGAUCGCAGGUACCUACCUUUCCCGGCCAAAAAACAGGAGUGAUAAUCGAUCAAUCGAUCUUGCAAUCUCAACGCCCGUAACCUGUUUGCUUGCACCUCCAACACAGUGCCGGACCUGGUCACCACCCCCAAAUGCCCUUAAUAACUUGGUUAGCGAGCGGUUCGUCGGCUAACUCUGACUUACAUGUCGUUACUGGUUUCCGCCUGUUCGCGGGGACGAGGCUCGGCUCGGCUCGGCUCGGCUUCCACAGCUC
Long non-coding RNA from Xiphias gladius (swordfish), 404 nucleotides. RefSeq lists it as uncharacterized. The transcript has 3 exons. NCBI's taxonomy places the organism in Eukaryota, Metazoa, Chordata, Actinopteri, Istiophoriformes, Xiphiidae. The record is from RefSeq and is a predicted model, not a curated record.